RNAcentral lists this ribosomal RNA (444 nucleotides) under uncultured bacterium. RNAcentral describes it as "SSU rRNA". It matches the Rfam family "Bacterial small subunit ribosomal RNA", at positions 26 to 518 of the family's 1533-position model. The record is from RNAcentral.
AGAAUGAACGCUGGCGGCAUGCCUAACACAUGCAAGUCGAACGAAACCUUCGGGUUUAGUGGCGCACGGGUGCGUAACGCGUGGGAAUCUACCCCUUGGUUCGGAAUAACAGUUGGAAACGACUGCUAAUACCGGAUGAUGACGUAAGUCCAAAGAUUUAUCGCCGAGGGAUGAGCCCGCGUAGGAUUAGGUAGUUGGUGUGGUAAAGGCGCACCAAGCCGACGAUCCUUAGCUGGUCUGAGAGGAUGAUCAGCCACACUGGGACUGAGACACGGCCCAGACUCCUACGGGAGGCAGCAGUGGGGAAUAUUGGACAAUGGGCGAAAGCCUGAUCCAGCAAUGCCGCGUGAGUGAUGAAGGCCUUAGGGUUGUAAGCUCUUUACCCGGGAUGAUAAUGACAGUACCGGGAGAAUAAGCUCCGGCUAACUCCGCGCCAGCAGCCGC